AAACUGCUGAAAGUUCUUUCUACCGAGAAUGAAUAAUCCUCAACCAGGUUUUCGAAUACAAUGGUCUUUAUUAACAAGUGCGAGUUUGCGCCUUUAUAACUAGGACCAGGACAACUUAACUCCUGUGUUUCUUUUCCUUUGGCGUAUAUACCUUUGUCAAAACUGUGAUCCCUGCUACUUGGGAGGCUGAGACACAAGAAUUGCUUGAAUCCAGGAGGCGGAGGUUGCAGUGAACCAAGAUCAUGCCACUGAACUCCAGCCUGGGUGACAGAGCAAGAGUCUGUCUCAAAAAAAAAAAAAAGAAAAGAAAAAGAUAUUGCUUAGAAAAGUAACUUGAGUCCUGUUGAGCCUAAGUAAAGGACAAUAAUGGAAGUUUCUAGUCUGCAAAAUAUGAAGAUGCCCCUCAGAGACACAGCUGUGGGUGCCUCUCACAAGACAGAUGUUCAGGAAAACUGGGCUGUUGCUCUGGAAUUUUCAAUGAGUUAUUUUACUUGUUUUUGCCUCAGUUUACAGAAAAUAAACUGGCAACAAUAUCUCCUUGUUAUUGUGAGGAUAAAAUAAAAG
This 564-nucleotide long non-coding RNA is filed under the name Homo sapiens (human). RNAcentral describes it as "long intergenic non-protein coding RNA 1923". The record is from RNAcentral. Lineage: Eukaryota; Metazoa; Chordata; Mammalia; Primates; Hominidae.